This is a long non-coding RNA of Esox lucius (northern pike), 478 nucleotides long. The record is from Ensembl. NCBI's taxonomy places the organism in Eukaryota, Metazoa, Chordata, Actinopteri, Esociformes, Esocidae.
AUUGCACAGGUGUGCAUGGAGGUGGUAACAAGGGUUCUUGGGCAUGCUGAACCAGUCGGAGAGGUUGAAGGAAAGGGGGGAGUGAUUUAAGGAGAGGAGGCUGAAGACAUAAACUGAAAUACAUACUUGUGACGAAGGAUUGUGCAGACUCAGACCCUGUGGCUGAACUGGAAGGAAGCACAUGUGAUGCGUACAGAAAGGCUGCAAUAAGAAAUGAGACUCCGGAGCUACAAAGAACCCGCUGUGUUGGCCUCUCGUCACCCCAGCCCCUCCUAGCCCUGACUUCCACUGAAGAGGAGAGGCUCGGGCUCCUCUCCUCUCUGAUGUGCCUAAUUAUGCCGACGCUGCGGCCAAACCGGCUCCCACCUGCCGAGCACAAAGAGUCGUUCCACAGGUGUCUGGGCCCACGGCGUGUGCGUGUGCGUCGGCCCAGAGGACACAAUCUGUCGGGAUCUCAUUAGGCCCUGUCACUUCAAAG